RNAcentral lists this ribosomal RNA (253 nucleotides) under uncultured bacterium. RNAcentral describes it as "partial 16S ribosomal RNA". It matches the Rfam family "Bacterial small subunit ribosomal RNA", at positions 524 to 776 of the family's 1533-position model. The record is from RNAcentral.
UACGGAGGGUGCAAGCGUUAUCCGGAUUCACUGGGUUUAAAGGGUGCGUAGGUGGGUAUGUAAGUCAGAGGUGAAAUCCCCGAGCUUAACUUGGGAACUGCCUUUGAUACUAUAUGUCUUGAAUGUCGUAGAGGUCAGCGGAAUAUGUCAUGUAGCGGUGAAAUGCUUAGAUAUGACAUAGAACACCAAUUGCGAAGGCAGCUGGCUAUGCGAUUAUUGACACUGAGGCACGAAAGCGUGGGUAGCAAACAGG